GACGAACGCUGGCGGCGUGCUUAACACAUGCAAGUCGAACGGAAAGGCCCUGCUUUUGUGGGGUGCUCGAAUGGCGAACGGGUGAGUAACACGUGAGAAACCUGCCCUUGACUUUGGGAAAACUUCAGGAAACUGGGGCUAAUACCGGAUAGGAGCUCCUGCUGCAUGGGGGGGGUUGGAAAGUUUCGGCGGUUGGGGAUGGACUCGCGGCUUUUCAGCUUGUUGGUGGGGUAGUGGCUUACCAAGGCUUUGACGGGUAGCCGGCCUGAGAGGGUGACCGGCCACAUUGGGACUGGGAUACGGCCCAGACUCCUACGGGAGGCAGCAGUGGGGAAUAUUGCACAAUGGGCGGAAGCCUGAUGCAGCAACGCCGCGUGCGGGAUGACGGCCUUCGGGUUGUAAACCGCUUUCGCCUGUGACGAAGCGUGAGUGACGGUAAUGGGUAAAGAAGCACCGGCUAACUACGUG
Molecule: ribosomal RNA, 468 nt
Filed under: uncultured bacterium
Lineage: Bacteria
Description: partial 16S ribosomal RNA
Rfam family: Bacterial small subunit ribosomal RNA
Source: RNAcentral